CCUACGGGUGGCAGCAGUGAGGAAUAUUGGUCAAUGGGCGAGAGCCUGAACCAGCCAAGUCGCGUGAAGGAUGACGGCCCUACGGGUUGUAAACUUCUUUUGUCAGGGAGCAAUUGAGUCCACGUGUGGGCUUAGCGAGAGUAACUGAAGAAAAAGCAUCGGCUAACUCCGUGCAAGCAGCCGCGGUAAUACGGAGGAUGCGAGCGUUAUACGGAUUUAGUGGGUUUAAAGUGUGCGUAGGCGGAAUAUCAAGUCAGCGGUAAAAAGUCGGGGCUCAACCCCGUCGUGCGGUUGAAACUGAUGUUCUUGAGUGGGCGAGAAGUAUGCGGAAUGCGUGGUGUAGCGGUGAAAUGCAUAGAUAUCACGCAGAACUCCGAUUGCGAAGGCAGCAUACCGGCGCCCAACUGACGCUGAAGCACGAAAGCGUGGGUAUCGAACAGGAUUAGAUACCCCAGUAGUC
RNAcentral lists this ribosomal RNA (460 nucleotides) under uncultured bacterium. Its description in RNAcentral is "partial 16S ribosomal RNA". It matches the Rfam family "Bacterial small subunit ribosomal RNA", at positions 338 to 795 of the family's 1533-position model. The record is from RNAcentral.